RNAcentral lists this ribosomal RNA (367 nucleotides) under uncultured organism. RNAcentral describes it as "bacterial SSU rRNA". It matches the Rfam family "Bacterial small subunit ribosomal RNA", at positions 526 to 896 of the family's 1533-position model. The record is from RNAcentral.
CGUAGGUGGCAAGCGUUGUCCGGAUUUAUUGGGUUUAAAGGGUGCGUAGGCGGCCCUAUAAGUCAGUGGUGAAAUAUCUCAGCUUAACUGAGAGGGUGCCAUUGAUACUGCGGGGCUCGAGUACAGAUGAGGUAGGCGGAAUUGACGGUGUAGCGGUGAAAUGCAUAGAUAUCGUCAAGAACUCCGAUAGCGAAGGCAGCUUACUAAGCUGUAACUGACGCUGAGGCACGAAAGUGUGGGGAUCAAACAGGAUUAGAUACCCUGGUAGUCCACACUGUAAACGUUGAUGACUCGAUGUUGGCGAUACACAGCCAGCGUCCAAGAGCAAUCGUUAAGUCAUCCACCUGGGGAUACGCCGGCAACGGUG